CUGACGAGGGAUUACGAACUACAUCGACGCCAAACAAGACAAAAGACAAAUGAAGUUUGGUAAACAACCAUUUAAUACCAGAAGGGACAAGGUAAUAGACAAUUUCAUUUCCAUUUCAUUGGUGAAGUACACAUUACAAAGUCUUAAAGGUCAAAAAUAAAAAGAUAAAGAAAAAGAAAAGAAAAAGAGGCUCUAAGGAAGCCCAGUUUCUUUCGAUUUCGAGCUCUCGG
Molecule: long non-coding RNA, 230 nt
Filed under: Elaeis guineensis (African oil palm)
Lineage: Eukaryota; Viridiplantae; Streptophyta; Magnoliopsida; Arecales; Arecaceae
Description: long non-coding RNA (EGUI_LNC044275)
Source: RNAcentral